CCCCAAUCUUCUAAAGGUACAAAUAAGUAUAGGAUAGAAAUCCCGGGGCCUAUGCCUAUGCCUUAGUACACUACCCCGAACAAAUCAAGGUUCUCUCUCUAGCAUCGAGAAAGAACUAAACUCCCCUCAGGGGAACUUUUCCUUUAACCGUUACCCCUUUUUUUUACCCUAUACACCAAACCCUAAGCUCCCUCCUCUCCCCCUCAACCAACUCCACCCUUCCCUCCCCC
Molecule: non-coding RNA, 230 nt
Organism: Pelobates cultripes (western spadefoot toad)
Lineage: Eukaryota; Metazoa; Chordata; Amphibia; Anura; Pelobatidae
Source: the annotation of a GenBank genome assembly